CAGUAGCGUAUAUUAAAGUUGUUGCAGUUAAAAUGCUCGUAGUUGAAGUUCGGAUGCAGCAGAGCUUGGAAACGCUGUUAUGGUGCUUCCGUUGCUUUUGCUUGUCCACAGUGCGUUGCAAGUACGUAUGUGCUUGUGCGUGCAUUUUGCUUUGAGAAACAUAGGGUGUUCCACGCAUGUUACGGCAUGAAUAUUCCAGCAUGGGAUAAUCUGGUACGACUUCCAAUCUGCCAUUUUGGUUCGUAGGUUGGAAGUAAUGAUUAAUAGGGACUGUCGGGGGCAUUGGUAUUUGACUGUCAGAGGUGAAAUUCUUAGAUUCGUUGAGGACCAACCACUGCGAAAGCAUUUGUCAAGGAUGUCUCCAUUA
This 367-nucleotide ribosomal RNA is filed under the name uncultured eukaryote. RNAcentral describes it as "partial 18S ribosomal RNA". It matches the Rfam family "Eukaryotic small subunit ribosomal RNA", at positions 592 to 975 of the family's 1831-position model. The record is from RNAcentral.